GGGGGGGGGGGGGGGGGGGGGGGGCGGGGGGAGGGGGGGGGGGAGGGGGCUGGUGGGGGGGGGUGCUCGGGUGGCGAACGGGUGAGUAACACGUGAGUAACCUGCCCUUGACUUUGGGAUAACUUCAGGAAACUGGGGCUAAUACCGGAUAGGAGCUCCUGCUGCAUGGUGGGGGUUGGAAAGUUUCGGCGGUUGGGGAUGGACUCGCGGCUUAUCAGCUUGUUGGGGGGGUAGUGGCUUACCAAGGCUUUGACGGGUAGCCGGCCUGAGAGGGUGACCGGCCACAUUGGGACUGAGAUACGGCCCAGACUCCUACGGGAGGCAGCAGUGGGGAAUAUUGCACAAUGGGCGGAAGCCUGAUGCAGCAACGCCGCGUGCGGGAUGACGGCCUUCGGGUUGUAAACCGCUUUCGCCUGUGACGAAGCGUGAGUGACGGUAAUGGGUAAAGAAGCACCGGCUAACUACGUG
RNAcentral lists this ribosomal RNA (468 nucleotides) under uncultured bacterium. Its description in RNAcentral is "partial 16S ribosomal RNA". The stretch from base 49 to 468 matches the Rfam family "Bacterial small subunit ribosomal RNA", at positions 35 to 507 of the family's 1533-position model. The record is from RNAcentral.